CAGUAGCCGCGGUAAUACGUAGGUGGCAAGCGUUGCCCGGAAUUAUUGGGCGUAAAGCGCGCGCAGGUGGUUUAAUAAGUCUGAUGUGAAAGCCCACGGCUCAACCGUGGAGGGUCAUUGGAAACUGUUAAACUUGAGUGCAGGAGAGAAAAGUGGAAUUCCUAGUGUAGCGGUGAAAUGCGUAGAGAUUAGGAGGAACACCAGUGGCGAAGGCGGCUUUUUGGCCUGUAACUGACACUGAGGCGCGAAAGCGUGGGGAGCAAACAGGAUUAGAUACCCCAGUAGUCCCUGUCUCUUAUAC
RNAcentral lists this ribosomal RNA (301 nucleotides) under uncultured bacterium. RNAcentral's name for it is "partial 16S ribosomal RNA". It matches the Rfam family "Bacterial small subunit ribosomal RNA", at positions 509 to 807 of the family's 1533-position model. The record is from RNAcentral.